GGUUAAGCGACUAAGCGUACACGGUGGAUGCCCUGGCAGUCAGAGGCGAUGAAGGACGUGCUAAUCUGCGAUAAGCGUCGGUGAGGUGAUAUGAACCGUUAUAACCGGCGAUUUCCGAAUGGGGAAACCCAGUGUGUUUCGACACACUAUCAUUAACUGAAUCCAUAGGUUAAUGAGGCGAACCGGGGGAACUGAAACAUCUAAGUACCCCGAGGAAAAGAAAUCAACCGAGAUUCCCCCAGUAGCGGCGAGCGAACGGGGAGGAGCCCAGAGCCUGAAUCAGUGUGUGUGUUAGUGGAAGCGUCUGGAAAGGCGUGCGAUACAGGGUGACAGCCCCGUACACAAAAAUGCACAUAUUGUGAGCUCGAUGAGUAGGGCGGGACACGUGGUAUCCUGUCUGAAUAUGGGGGGACCAUCCUCCAAGGCUAAAUACUCCUGACUGACCGAUAGUGAACCAGUACCGUGAGGGAAAGGCGAAAAGAACCCCGGCGAGGGGAGUGAAAAAGAACCUGAAACCGUGUACGUACAAGCAGUGGGAGCCUCUUAAUGGGGUGACUGCGUACCUUUUGUAUAAUGGGUCAGCGACUUAUAUUCUGUAGCAAGGUUAACCGAAUAGGGGAGCCGAAGGGAAACCGAGUCUUAACUGGGCGUUAAGUUGCAGGGUAUAGACCCGAAACCCGGUGAUCUAGCCAUGGGCAGGUUGAAGGUUGGGUAACACUAACUGGAGGACCGAACCGACUAAUGUUGAAAAAUUAGCGGAUGACUUGUGGCUGGGGGUGAAAGGCCAAUCAAACCGGGAGAUAGCUGGUUCUCCCCGAAAGCUAUUUAGGUAGCGCCUCGUGAAUUCAUCUCCGGGGGUAGAGCACUGUUUCGGCAAGGGGGUCAUCCCGACUUACCAACCCGAUGCAAACUGCGAAUACCGGAGAAUGUUAUCACGGGAGACACACGGCGGGUGCUAACGUCCGUCGUGAAGAGGGAAACAACCCAGACCGCCAGCUAAGGUCCCAAAGUCAUGGUUAAGUGGGAAACGAUGUGGGAAGGCCCAGACAGCCAGGAUGUUGGCUUAGAAGCAGCCAUCAUUUAAAGAAAGCGUAAUAGCUCACUGGUCGAGUCGGCCUGCGCGGAAGAUGUAACGGGGCUAAACCAUGCACCGAAGCUGCGGCAGCGACACUAUGUGUUGUUGGGUAGGGGAGCGUUCUGUAAGCCUGUGAAGGUGGCCUGUGAGGGUUGCUGGAGGUAUCAGAAGUGCGAAUGCUGACAUAAGUAACGAUAAAGCGGGUGAAAAGCCCGCUCGCCGGAAGACCAAGGGUUCCUGUCCAACGUUAAUCGGGGCAGGGUGAGUCGACCCCUAAGGCGAGGCCGAAAGGCGUAGUCGAUGGGAAACAGGUUAAUAUUCCUGUACUUGGUGUUACUGCGAAGGGGGGACGGAGAAGGCUAUGUUGGCCGGGCGACGGUUGUCCCGGUUUAAGCGUGUAGGCUGGUUUUCCAGGCAAAUCCGGAAAACCAAGGCUGAGGCGUGAUGACGAGGCACUACGGUGCUGAAGCGACAAAUGCCCUGCUUCCAGGAAAAGCCUCUAAGCAUCAGGUAACAUCAAAUCGUACCCCAAACCGACACAGGUGGUCAGGUAGAGAAUACCAAGGCGCUUGAGAGAACUCGGGUGAAGGAACUAGGCAAAAUGGUGCCGUAACUUCGGGAGAAGGCACGCUGAUAUGUAGGUGAAGCGACUUGCUCGUGGAGCUGAAAUCAGUCGAAGAUACCAGCUGGCUGCAACUGUUUAUUAAAAACACAGCACUGUGCAAACACGAAAGUGGACGUAUACGGUGUGACGCCUGCCCGGUGCCGGAAGGUUAAUUGAUGGGGUUAGCGGUAACGCGAAGCUCUUGAUCGAAGCCCCGGUAAACGGCGGCCGUAACUAUAACGGUCCUAAGGUAGCGAAAUUCCUUGUCGGGUAAGUUCCGACCUGCACGAAUGGCGUAAUGAUGGCCAGGCUGUCUCCACCCGAGACUCAGUGAAAUUGAACUCGCUGUGAAGAUGCAGUGUACCCGCGGCAAGACGGAAAGACCCCGUGAACCUUUACUAUAGCUUGACACUGAACAUUGAGCCUUGAUGUGUAGGAUAGGUGGGAGGCUUUGAAGUGUGGACGCCAGUCUGCAUGGAGCCGACCUUGAAAUACCACCCUUUAAUGUUUGAUGUUCUAACGUUGGCCCGUAAUCCGGGUUGCGGACAGUGUCUGGUGGGUAGUUUGACUGGGGCGGUCUCCUCCUAAAGAGUAACGGAGGAGCACGAAGGUUGGCUAAUCCUGGUCGGACAUCAGGAGGUUAGUGCAAUGGCAUAAGCCAGCUUGACUGCGAGCGUGACGGCGCGAGCAGGUGCGAAAGCAGGUCAUAGUGAUCCGGUGGUUCUGAAUGGAAGGGCCAUCGCUCAACGGAUAAAAGGUACUCCGGGGAUAACAGGCUGAUACCGCCCAAGAGUUCAUAUCGACGGCGGUGUUUGGCACCUCGAUGUCGGCUCAUCACAUCCUGGGGCUGAAGUAGGUCCCAAGGGUAUGGCUGUUCGCCAUUUAAAGUGGUACGCGAGCUGGGUUUAGAACGUCGUGAGACAGUUCGGUCCCUAUCUGCCGUGGGCGCUGGAGAACUGAGGGGGGCUGCUCCUAGUACGAGAGGACCGGAGUGGACGCAUCACUGGUGUUCGGGUUGUCAUGCCAAUGGCACUGCCCGGUAGCUAAAUGCGGAAGAGAUAAGUGCUGAAAGCAUCUAAGCACGAAACUUGCCCCGAGAUGAGUUCUCCCUGAGACUUAGAGUCUCCUGAAGGAACGUUGAAGACGACGACGUUGAUAGGCCGGGUGUGUAAGCGCAGCGAUGCGUUGAGCUAACCGGUACUAAUGAACCGUGAGGCUUAACCUU
This 2904-nucleotide ribosomal RNA is filed under the name Escherichia coli. Its description in RNAcentral is "23S ribosomal RNA". It matches the Rfam family "Bacterial large subunit ribosomal RNA". The record is from RNAcentral. Lineage: Bacteria; Pseudomonadati; Pseudomonadota; Gammaproteobacteria; Enterobacterales; Enterobacteriaceae.